Molecule: long non-coding RNA, 1775 nt
Organism: Pan paniscus (pygmy chimpanzee)
Lineage: Eukaryota; Metazoa; Chordata; Mammalia; Primates; Hominidae
Source: Ensembl
GGCUGAAGCACCAAGACAGACUGUCCCACUCCAGAGGGUCACUCUGCCUCUGGAUGUUGCCUCUGGCCAGCUCCCGCAGUCUGGGAAGGAGAGGGUCAGGCCAGUCAGGCCCGGGGGGCAGGGGUCUCACCAGGACUUUGAUCUACAGCCACAUGUAGGGGAAGGAAGGGCAGCUUGGGACAGGCAACGCAAUCAGCAGUGGAUGUACCAAAAGCUGAGACCAUAAGAAAGAGAAAUGAGGAGAAGCAGAGUAUCAGGAGAUCAUUUUCAGGAACAUUAGAUAGAGGCCAGAAAGGAGAAGUGGGUAAUUUUAAUCCCAUGCAGCUGCUGGAAAUUAAUUUAAUUGUGCUGGUGCUGGCUCUUCUCCCUUCAAACCCGUUUCAUCAGGGCCUGAUGGAGUGAUGAGACCGAGGAAGACAGCCCGGCCGCGCCAGCCAGCAGCCCUGGGUAUGCAGCUCCAGGCCGGACUUCCUCCCGUUCCUAUGGCUGCUACCAGAGAAGAUGGGAAAACUGGCACUUUUUCAAUCUAGACGUUUCUCCUCUUGACAGGGGACUGAAGUGAGACAACAGGAAGAACUUCCCAACAGCAAAGAGUGUGAACUAUGCGAAUACGUGAAGGCGGCUGCAAACCAUCUUCUCUAACUCUUAAGGAUAGAGAGACAUUGGAGGAGCCAGCAUUUGGAUCCCAAGGGUUGUUUAUUUUGACUCACUGCUGUUUUUGCUGGAGAAGGGUAAAACAGAAAGUUCCUUUACUUUGGCUAAGUGUGGCACACAUAACUGCCCUGAGCCCGAAUUUCUGAUGAGCAAAUAGAAGCGGACCAGUGGUUCAAUCUUCCUUCAUCAUCUUCAAAAAGAAUAACACCCAAGGGCACAUAGGAUUGGCUUCUCUACAUUUCAAUUUAAGAGAAAUGGAAAGAAGACUCAUCUACCACUGAAGAUACCUGAACUCAAAAAUGAAAAAUAAGAUGGCCUCCCUGAUCAGCUCCAGGUUCUUCCUUCCUAGUUCUGGCUCCUGGACACCUCAUGACCACAUUGCGCAUUUGCACUCUUAGUGAGUGCUGCUCAUAACAGGGUAUUAUGAUUCCUCUUAUAGAGUCCACCUUUCAUUCCAAAUUGUGAGGCUGCUGGAUGGCAGAAUAAGUUCUGGGCACAUAGUAGGUGCACAAUAAACAUUUGUUAAACCAAAAUGUUUGUUGUCAAUCUUGUCUUCAAUCUAACUUGUCUAAUACGUAAAACCAACCCAGAGAGAAACUUUUCUAGACCCUUCUCUGUUAAGCUCCACACAGGUCCCCAUUCUUUCUGAUUUUUUGUUUUGUUUUGUUUUGUUUUGAGACGGAGUUUCACUCUUGUUGCCCAGGCUGGAGUGCAGUAGCGUGAUCUUGGCUCACUGCAACCUCCACCUCCCGCGUUCAAGCAAUUCUCCUGCCUCAGCCUCCUGAGUAGCUGGGAUUACAGGCGCCUGCCACCACACCUGGCUAUUUUUUUUUUAUUUUUAGUAGAGACGGGGUUUCACCAUCUUGGCUAGGCUGGUCUCGAACUCCUGGCCUCAGGUGAUCUCCCCGCCUUGGCCUCCCAAAGUGCUGGGAUUACAGGUGUGAGCCGCUGUGUCCGGCCACAAGACCCCAUUCUUAACUUGCAAAUGUUUGGUGAAGUUUGCUAAACCCUACCUACCCUCCCAAGAGACGGUGAUUGGGUAGGUUUAGGGUGGGGUUCAGGAACUUGCAUUUGUAACAACUGAGAAUGGUGAUUCUGAAAUUAUCAAGGGGGAAUGCAUU